AACGAACGUUAGCGGCGCGCCUAACACAUGCAAGUCGAACGCGACUGGGGGCAACUCCAGUUGAGUGGCGCACGGGUGAGUAACACGUAGGUAAUCUCCCCUCGAGUGGUGGAUAACCUUCCGAAAGGAGGGCUAAUACAGCAUAAGACCACGGCCUCGAAAGAGGUUGAGAUCAAAGCGGAGGAUCGCAAGACUUCGCGCUUGAGGAUGAGCCUGCGGCCCAUCAGGUAGUUGGCGGAGUAACAGCCCACCAAGCCUAAGACGGGUAGCUGGUCUGAGGGGAUGAUCAGCCACACUGGAACUGAGACACGGUCCAGACUCCUACGGGAGGCAGCAGUGGGGAAUCUUGCGCAAUGGACGAAAGUCGGACGCAGCGACGCCGCGUGGGUGAUGAAGGCCUUCGGGUUGUAAAGCCCUGUGGGGAGGGACGAAUAAGUUGCAGCUAAUACCUGCAGCGAUGACGGUACCUCCUUAGCAAGCACCGGCUAACUCUGUGCCAGCAGCCGCGGUAA
RNAcentral lists this ribosomal RNA (512 nucleotides) under uncultured bacterium. RNAcentral's name for it is "partial 16S ribosomal RNA". It matches the Rfam family "Bacterial small subunit ribosomal RNA", at positions 29 to 523 of the family's 1533-position model. The record is from RNAcentral.